This is a long non-coding RNA of Lineus longissimus, 1110 nucleotides long. RefSeq lists it as uncharacterized. The record is from RefSeq and is a predicted model, not a curated record. The transcript has 3 exons. Lineage: Eukaryota; Metazoa; Nemertea; Pilidiophora; Heteronemertea; Lineidae.
UAUAGUAUUGCAGUUGUUGUUGUAGAGAGAAUUUCAUAUCCACAACUUUCUAAAUUGACUUUCUGUCAGCGUCGGCAUCCGGCCGGGCCAUAUUUGUUGAAAGUGUUUUAUGAUCAACAGGUUUCAACCAUGCAGAAGGUCAUUUAUCGAGCCGAAACAUUUGCUGCUGUCUAGGUAAUUGGCUUAAUUCAGCACAAUUCAUGCGGUACUUAAGAUCAUUGGCAGUUCUGACAAACAGACCUAAUGUCGACUAAAGCGGGUCAACUUUCGAGAUCGGUCCGAUUUUGAAAUCGGCAAUUUGACAAGAGAUGGUUAAUAUUAUCGACGUGGUGUUGUUAUUUGUUCUUGCAGCUGUAUCAAACGCUCUAACUGCGUCCGAUUUAGAUUACUGCUAUGAAAAGAUGAUUAUCAACGAGUUGCACAUUGGCAAGAAGACCAUGGUCAUCGCACUUGAGAGAGGAAAUGUGCUACCGGUUGCAGUACGGAUGCGCGUUGAAAAAGUCCAAAAUGGCGCAUAUCGUAUAUCCGCCCUUCUGCCAAAGUCGACCCGAACUCUUUCUGAAGCAACAUUUGCCACACCAGGGGACAUGGACUUCGACCCUAGAUACAUUAUCGGGAGUGUCAGAGUGACGUUUGUGCCCGGGGUACCCUCUGAUGGAGUCUUCCAAAAGGAUAGAAAACCAAGGCUAAGGAUACAGUUAUUUGGGUGCUAUGACCCGUAGUGACCUUGAACCAGAGAAGUUGGGUCAGUUUGUGGGCAUCGUAGAUGAUAUAACCUGAAGAGUCUUGUAUGAUGAGAACAUUCUGACUUCACAUUGCAUUACGGUUCGCUUAUCAAAACUCAUUAUCUAAACAUAUCCAACACAUGAAGGACAAGAGAAAGUGAUAAAAUGAUUCUUUAAAAGGUUGACCAGUUGUCAUUGUGGCAUUGCGUCCUGUAACUAUAAACAAGGCGAUAAUAAUGUUCUCCUGUCACGUAGAGAAUCAUUUUAAGCAAGCCAGUGAUCAGAGGGUGCCUAAAGUGUGUAGCUUUACCUGCUAUCUCAGAGGCAGCCAGUGCAUUGGCCUUAAGUGAUGUUAUUGACGCGUUGGCCAAUAAAAGGGAUAUUA